CUUCUAAACCUUUGACGAUUGACUCAUGUUGCCUCGGCGGGUUCUCCCGCCAGAGGAUACAUCAAAACUCCUGUUUUAACGGUGUUGUCUGAGCUACAAGCAACGAAUCAAAACUUUCAACAACGGAUCUCUUGGUUCUGGCAUCGAUGAAGAACGCAGCGAAAUGCGAUAAGUAGUGUGAAUUGCAGAAUUCAGUGAAUCAUCGAAUCUUUGAACGCACAUUGCGCCCCUUGGUAUCCCGAGGGGCAUGCCUGUUCGAGCGUCAUUUCACCACUCAAGCCUGGCUUGGUGUUGGGCGACGUCCCCUUUGGGGACGCGCCUCGAAACGCUCGGCGGCGUGGCACCGGCUUUAAGCGUAGCAGAAUCUUUCGCUUUGAAAGUCGGGGCCCCGUCUGCCGGAAGACCUACUCGCAAGGUUGACCUCGGAUCAGGCAGGGAUACCCGCUGAACUUAAGCAUAUCAAUAAGCGGA
RNAcentral lists this ribosomal RNA (471 nucleotides) under uncultured Cenococcum. RNAcentral describes it as "eukaryotic LSU rRNA". The stretch from base 112 to 265 matches the Rfam family "5.8S ribosomal RNA". The record is from RNAcentral. Lineage: Eukaryota; Fungi; Ascomycota; Dothideomycetes; Gloniales; Gloniaceae.